GCCGUUAUAGCCUAGUGGUAUCUUGGAGGUGGGAUAAAGCUUAUGACCAUUAGGUCAUGGGUUCGAUUCCCACAAAGGGGG
Molecule: transfer RNA, 81 nt
Filed under: Helianthus annuus (common sunflower)
Lineage: Eukaryota; Viridiplantae; Streptophyta; Magnoliopsida; Asterales; Asteraceae
Description: tRNA HanXRQr2_Chr15g0689541
Source: RNAcentral